Molecule: ribosomal RNA, 249 nt
Filed under: uncultured bacterium
Lineage: Bacteria
Description: partial 16S ribosomal RNA
Rfam family: Bacterial small subunit ribosomal RNA
Source: RNAcentral
CACGCCGUAAACGAUGGAUAUUAGGUGUUGCGGGCUUUUAAACUCGCAGUGCCGACGCUAACGCAUUAAAUAUCCCGCCUGGGAAGUACGGCCGCAAGGCUAAAACUCAAAGGAAUUGACGGGGGCCCGCACAAGCGGUGGAGCAUGUGGUUUAAUUCGACGCAACGCGAAGAACCUUACCUGGACUUGACAUCUAGAGAAUCCCGCCCAAAAGUGGGAGUGCUCUUCGGAGAACUCUAAGACAGGUGC